GCAGGUUAAGCGAAGCGUCUUGAUCGAAGCCCCAGUAAAACGGGCGGCCGUAACUAUAACGGUCCUAAGGUAGCCGAAAAUUCCUUGUCGGGUAAGUUCCGACCUGCACGAAUGGCAUAAUGAUGGCGGCGCUGUCUCCAGCAGAGGCUCAGUGAAAUCGAAUUCGCCGUGAAGAUGCGGUGUACCCGCGGCUAGACGGAAAGACCCCGUGAACCUUUACUGCAGCUUGACAUUGAACUUUGAUCUUACUUGUGUAGGAUAGGUGGGAGGCUUUGAAGUGGUGACGCUAGUUGCCAUGGAGCCGUCCUUGAAAUACCACCCUGGUAAUAUUGAGGUUCUAACUCUGCUCCCUGAUCGGGAGCGAGGACCAUGUCUGGUGGGUAGUUUGACUGGGGCGGUCUCCUCCUAAAGAGUAACGGAGGAGUACGAAGGUGCGCUCAGCGUGGUCGGAAAUCACGCGUAGAGUAUAAAGGCAAAAGCGCGCUUAACUGCGAGACCCACAAGUCGAGCAGGUACGAAAGUAGGUCUUAGUGAUCCGGUGGUUCUGUAUGGAAGGGCCAUCGCUCAACGGAUAAAAGGUACUCUGGGGAUAACAGGCUGAUACCGCCCAAGAGUUCAUAUCGACGGCGGUGUUUGGCACCUCGAUGUCGGCUCAUCUCAUCCUGGGGCUGAAGCAGGUCCCAAGGGUAUGGCUGUUCGCCAUUUAAAGAGGUACGCGAGCUGGGUUUAGAACGUCGUGAGACAGUUCGGUCCCUAUCUACCGUGGGCGCUGGAAAUUUGAGAGGAUCUGCUCCUAGUACGAGAGGACCAGAGUGGACGAACCUCUGGUGUACCGGUUGUGACGCCAGUCGCAUCGCCGGGUAGCUAUGUUCGGAAGGGAUAACCGCUGAAAGCAUCUAAGCGGGAAGCCUACCUCAAGAUAAGAUUUCCCCGAGACUUUAUGUCUCCUAAAGAGCCGUUGAAGACUACGACGUUGAUAGGUUGGAUGUGGAAGCAUAGCGAUAUGUGAAGCUGACCAAUACUAAUUGCUCGUGAGGCUUGACUAU
This 1046-nucleotide ribosomal RNA is filed under the name Corynebacterium diphtheriae. RNAcentral describes it as "bacterial LSU rRNA". It matches the Rfam family "Bacterial large subunit ribosomal RNA", at positions 1893 to 2925 of the family's 2925-position model. The record is from RNAcentral. Lineage: Bacteria; Bacillati; Actinomycetota; Actinomycetes; Mycobacteriales; Corynebacteriaceae.